CUUCAGGGCGGGGCGAAAUUCCCCACCGGCGGUAUAGCCCGCGAGCCGAAAGGCUGAUUCGGUUAAAUUCCGAAGCCGACAGUAUAGUCUGGAUGAAAGAAGU
RNAcentral lists this non-coding RNA (103 nucleotides) under uncultured Clostridium sp. RNAcentral's name for it is "FMN riboswitch (RFN element)". It matches the Rfam family "FMN riboswitch aptamer (RFN element)". Rfam says of the family: The RFN element is a highly conserved domain that is found frequently in the 5'-untranslated regions of prokaryotic mRNAs that encode for flavin mononucleotide (FMN) biosynthesis and transport proteins. This element is a metabolite-dependent riboswitch that directly binds FMN in the absence of proteins. The record is from RNAcentral. Lineage: Bacteria; Bacillati; Bacillota; Clostridia; Eubacteriales; Clostridiaceae.